UCUCCCCUCUUGGGCUCCAUUUCUGGGCAACAAGUGGUACAAAGAUCGUUGCUCUAGUCCUUGCUUGAUUUAACCAUCAAGAGCUAAAGGUCUAUGGUAGCCCAAUUUGGCACAUCUCUAGUCGAGAGGCAAUCCAAAAACUAACCUCUAUUUUUUAAUGGAUCCAACUACACCUAUUAGAAAGCUCGGAUGAGAAUUUUCGUACAAAUACUUGACUAUGACAUGUAGAGUGUCAUAGUAAAUAGACCACACACACCCACUAAAUUAAUUGAUGGUGUGUCUCUCCCUA
RNAcentral lists this long non-coding RNA (289 nucleotides) under Elaeis guineensis (African oil palm). RNAcentral describes it as "long non-coding RNA (EGUI_LNC062617)". The record is from RNAcentral. Lineage: Eukaryota; Viridiplantae; Streptophyta; Magnoliopsida; Arecales; Arecaceae.